This 76-nucleotide transfer RNA is filed under the name Armatimonas rosea. Its description in RNAcentral is "tRNA-Leu". It matches the Rfam family "tRNA". From Rfam's summary of the family: Transfer RNA (tRNA) molecules are approximately 80 nucleotides in length. Their secondary structure includes four short double-helical elements and three loops (D, anti-codon, and T loops). Lineage: Bacteria; Bacillati; Armatimonadota; Armatimonadia; Armatimonadales; Armatimonadaceae. The record is from RNAcentral.
CUCCCUGUACCCCAAUUUGGUAGAGGGCGCACGUCGAGAGCGUGUGAAUGUGUCGGUUCGAGUCCGACCAGGGAGA